Molecule: RNA transcript, 892 nt
Organism: Sceloporus undulatus (fence lizard)
Lineage: Eukaryota; Metazoa; Chordata; Lepidosauria; Squamata; Phrynosomatidae
Gene: MORN5
Gene name: MORN repeat containing 5
Exons: 6
Source: RefSeq, a predicted model, not a curated record
GAUGCCAGCUUAGGGGGCGUGGCCUAGAAAUAGAGCCGCUGCCCGUUGGCCCCGCCCCUCAUCUUCCCUCACCUCCCUGCCUCUGAGGAGCCUUGUUGCCAUGGCGACGAGGCUUGGGUACCGCGAAGAGGCCUAGUAGGCCCAUCGCCUUGCGCGACCAUGGACUACACUGGGAGCUCCUACCGCGGGCAGCUCGUCCACGGCAGGUUGGAAGGCAGCGGCACCUACAAACUCCCCACAGAAACCAAGUAUGUCGGAGAAAUGAAAGACGGGAUGUUUCACGGCAAAGGGACCUUGCACUUCCCCAGCGGCAGCAAAUACGAAGGAACAUGGGAGAAUGGGAUAUCGAUAGAGGGGAAAUACACCUUCGCAGAUGGGUUGGAGUAUGAAGAAGAGAACUGGCAUUAUUGUGAUGGUUAUGACAGAAGGUUUUAUACCGAAAUCUGCAGGGGCCUGAAACCAGCAGGCAUUUCCCAGCUUACAAACCUGGAUCCUCCUCGGGUCAUCCCCAUGGGCUGCUAUGACUGUGGCGAUGGUUUUUAUAAUCCCAAAACAAGAGUGGUGACCGAUUACCUCCACCGGUUUUUGAGGAAUGCAGCCCUCCAGCUCACUGGCUCCUGCUUCGGCACAAAUUGGGCCCGCUAGAAAAGAAGCAGCGAUAAAAGAAUGAACUUUGAGAAAAGGCUGGACAGGCUCCAAUGUGCGAUUGUCAUCCACAACGUGGAGAGCUGCCUAAAUACACCGGAGUGAUAAUUUCCAAUGACGACGAACACGAGUGGAUUGUCCGCACCUGCCGGAAGGGUUGGGACGAAAUCGUUGGAUAUAGGCCCAAAAGAGGAGCUCCGUCUCAAGGAGGUAAAGAAGAAAAGGGAGAGAAGGAGACUCUCCCUUG